Molecule: ribosomal RNA, 465 nt
Filed under: uncultured bacterium
Lineage: Bacteria
Description: partial 16S ribosomal RNA
Rfam family: Bacterial small subunit ribosomal RNA
Source: RNAcentral
GACGAACGCUGGCGGCGUGCUUAACACAUGCAAGUCGUACGGUAAGGCCCUUUCGGGGGUACACGAGUGGCGAACGGGUGCGUAACACGUGAGUAACCUGCCCACACCUCUGGGAUAACGCUAGGAAACUGGUGCUAAUACUGGUUAUGUCCCCCUGCUGCAUGGUGGGGGUUGGAAAGCUCUGGCGGCUGUGGAUGGACUCGCGGGCUAUCAGCUUGUUGGUGGGGUAGUGGGCUACCGAGGCGACGACGGGUAGCGGGCCUGAGGGGGUGACAGGCCACAUUGGGACUGAGGUGCGGCCCAGGCUCCGACGGGAGGCAGCAGUGGGGAAUAUUGCACAAGGGGCGCAGGCCUGAUGCAGCAACGCCGCGUGCGGGAUGACGGCCUUGGUGUUGUAGACCGCUUUCAGCAGAGACGAAGCUUUUUGUGACGGUACCUGCAGAAGAAGCACCGGCUAACUACGUG